RNAcentral lists this long non-coding RNA (1239 nucleotides) under Lonchura striata (white-rumped munia). RNAcentral's name for it is "domestica (Bengalese finch) lncRNA (ENSLSDG00000009941.1)". Lineage: Eukaryota; Metazoa; Chordata; Aves; Passeriformes; Estrildidae. The record is from RNAcentral.
GCAGCACCCGAGGGUGCAGCUGGCACGGGAGAGCAGGGGGCUGGGGGGCACAGCAGCACCUGGGGGGACAGGAGGGACAGGGGGGCACAAGGGAGCGGGGACAGGGGGGACAGGGGGACGAGGGACAGAGAUGGGAGCUCAGUGCAGGCGAGGUGCCCGGAGCAUCCCCCACGGGAGCACCCAAGCAGCACAGACACCCUGGAGCAGCAGGGACACCCUGGAGCAGCAGGGACACCCUGGAGCAGCAGGGACACCCUGGAACAGCACGGACACCGUGGAUCAGCACAGACACCCUGGAGCAGCACAGACACCCUGGAGCAGCACAGACACCCUGGAGCAGCACAGACACCCUGGAGCAGCAUGGACACCUGGAACAGCACAGACACCUGGAUCAGCACAGACACCUGGAUCAGCACAGACACCCUGGAUCAGCACAGACACCCUGGAUCAGAGCAGACACCUGGAGCAGCAUGGACACCUGGAACAGCACAGACACCUGGAUCAGCACAGACACCCUGGAUCAGCACAGACACCCUGGAGCAGAGCAGACACCUGGAGCAGCAUGGACACCUGGAACAGCACAGACACCUGGAUCAGCACAGACACCCUGGAGCAGCACAGACACCCUGGAGCAGCACAGACACCCUGGAGCAGCAUGGACACCUGGAACAGCACGGACACCUGGAUCAGCACAGACACCCUGGAGCAGCACAGACACCCUGGAGCAGAGCAGACACCUGGAGCAGCACAGACACCCUUGGGCAGCACGGACACCCUUGGGCAGCACGGACACCCUGGAGCAGAGCGGACACCCUGGAGCAGCACAGACACCCUGGAGCAGCACGGACACCCUGGAGCAGCACGGACACCCUGGAGCAGCAUAGACACCUGGAGCAGAGCAGACACCCUGGAGCAGCAUAGACACCUGGAGCAGAGCAGACACCCUGGAGCAGCACAGACACCUGGAGCAGCACGGACACCCUUGGGCAGCACGGACACCCUGGAGCAGAGCAGACACCCUGGAGCUCAGCCACAGCAGGGAUGUGGCAGCCUGGCACCGCUGGGCACGGCUGGGUUUUCCAAGCCCCUGGAAGGCAUCGUGGCCAAGGGGGACAGUAACCACGAGCUGCUGCACACUCCAGGCCGGGUCCCUGCAAACACGUGGGGUUCGCCCCCCGACAGGCAGAACAGCCCUGAGCCCCCGCUGCCGAGGCUCUGUGGCACUCACAUCCUCUGGAC